CCUACGGGAGACAGCAGUGGGGAAUAUUGCACAAUGGGGGAAACCCUGAUGCAGCGACGCCGCGUGAGUGAAGAAGGAUUUCGGUACGUAAAGCUCUAUCAGCAGGGAAGAAAAUGACGGUACCUGACUCAGAAGCCCCGGCUAACUACGUGCCAGCAGCCCCGGUAACACGUAGGGGGCAAGCGUUAUCCGGAUUUACUGGGGGUAAAGGGAGCGUAUAGGGGUGCGCAAGUCUGAAGUGAAAUCCCAUGGCUUAACCAUGGAACUGCAUUGGAAACUGGGCAGCUGGAGUGCAGGAGAGGUAAGCGGAAUUCGUGGUGUAGCGGUGAAAUGCGUAGAUAUUACGAGGAACACCGGUGGCGAAGGCAGCUUACUGAACUGUAACUGACGUUGAGGCUCGAAAGCGUGGGGAGCAAACAGGAUUAGAUACCCGUGUAGUC
Molecule: ribosomal RNA, 440 nt
Filed under: uncultured bacterium
Lineage: Bacteria
Description: partial 16S ribosomal RNA
Rfam family: Bacterial small subunit ribosomal RNA
Source: RNAcentral